This is a non-coding RNA of Heterocephalus glaber (naked mole-rat), 921 nucleotides long. NCBI's taxonomy places the organism in Eukaryota, Metazoa, Chordata, Mammalia, Rodentia, Bathyergidae. The record is from RefSeq and is a predicted model, not a curated record.
CUCUCCCCGCCCCUUGCCCCUGGGUCCGCUCCCGAAGGCUGGAGCCAAUGAGACGGCUGCCCAGGCCGAACCCACUUUCCGAUUGGCCGCUGGGGUCUUUGGGACUCCCCUGGAGGGAGCCCCGGGGAAUCAGUGUUUGGCGCUGGGUCCUGGGGUAGCGCCACAAGCCCCGGGCAUCCUUUGUUCAGGAGCCCCGAAUUAGACCGCAGCCAGAGGGCGGAGCUCAGCUCUGGUCAAGCCUGGAGAAGAUCGGAGGCGGACCCUUCCAUCGUUCAGCUAACAGUCAUUGAGCCCUACUGUGUGCCAUGAUUGUCCUAGACACGGAGGACACAGCGUGACAGAAGACCCUCCUUUGAAGUGCUAAGAAGUGAGUCCUCGGGCUGUGGAUGUUGCUCAGUGGUACCUCGCCUGCCUCACAAGUGCAAGGUCCUGAGUUCGAUCUCCGGUACCAAAAAGAAAAAAAGAUCUUACUAUGUAUGUACUCCAGCCUGGCCUUGAACUCACUGUGUAGCCCAGGCAGUCCUUGAACUUGCCUGGAUCCUCCUGCCUCAGCCUCUCACUGGGACUACAGCCACACACCAAAAUGCCCGCCCCCUGGCUGAGGACUCCUACUUCCUCCAGGCCUCACCCCAAGGUAACCACGUGGGGCACGUGCAUGUUCGCAGCAUUACUGACCAAGUGAACCUCACACAGUGCCUAAACCUGGAGGCCGCUGGCUGUGCCGAGAACUAGAUUCAUCUUCCAUCGCCCCCUCCACUAGCACCAUUCUUAGUUCCCGUCUGCCUGGAAAGAAACUGAGGCUUGGCAACCUCAGGAGAACCCUAGAGCCACACAGGGGCAGGCCGGGCCCUAGCUCGGCCUCGCUGCAGAAGUAGCCUCCGCCCCGGGAGUCCCAGAAGAGCCUGUCCUGCGUGUCCUGCA